GGGGCAGGCCCAGAAUGGCAAAACGGUAAGUGCUGCGUAAUGCAAUACUUCCAAUGCUCUGACGCUUUGACUGGGGGUCAAGAGGUCGCUGGUUCAAAUCCAGUCGCCCCG
Molecule: transfer RNA, 111 nt
Filed under: Pirellulaceae bacterium
Lineage: Bacteria; Pseudomonadati; Planctomycetota; Planctomycetia; Pirellulales; Pirellulaceae
Description: tRNA-Pro
Source: RNAcentral